GUGCACGCUUAGACAGCACGUAUACUAAAGUUGGAAUGAGGCAGAGAUUAGCAUGAGCCAUGUGCAAAGGCGAUGUGCAAAUUUGUGAACUAUUCCAUGUCUUU
This is a small nuclear RNA of Loxodonta africana (African savanna elephant), 104 nucleotides long. NCBI's taxonomy places the organism in Eukaryota, Metazoa, Chordata, Mammalia, Proboscidea, Elephantidae. The record is from Ensembl.